GCGUAAAGGGCUCGCAGGCGGUUUCUUAAGUCUGAUGUGAAAGCCCCCGGCUCAACCGGGGAGGGUCAUUGGAAACUGGGGAACUUGAGUGCAGAAGAGGAGAGUGGAAUUCCACGUGUAGCGGUGAAAUGCGUAGAGAUGUGGAGGAACACCAGUGGCGAAGGCGACUCUCUGGUCUGUAACUGACGCUGAGGAGCGAAAGCGUGGGGAGCGAACAGGAUUAGAUACCCUGGUAGUCCACGCCGUAAACGAUGAGUGCUAAGUGUUAGGGGGUUUCCGCCCCUUAGUGCUGCAGCUAACGCAUUAAGCACUCCGCCUGGGGAGUACGGUCGCAAGACUGAAACUCAAAGGAAUUGACGGGGGCCCGCACAAGCGGUGGAGCAUGUGGUUUAAUUCGAAGCAACGCGAAGAACCUUACCAGGUCUUGACAUCCUCUGACAAUCCUAGAGAUAGGACGUCCCCUUCGGGGGCAGAGUGACAGGUGGUGCAUGGUUGUCGUCAGCUCGUGUCGUGAGAUGUUGGGUUAAGUCCCGCAACGAGCGCAACCCUUGAUCUUAGUUGCCAGCAUUCAGUUGGGCACUCUAAGGUGACUGCCGGUGACAAACCGGAGGAAGGUGGGGAUGACGUCAAAUCAUCAUGCCCCUUAUGACCUGGGCUACACACGUGCUACAAUGGACAGAACA
This 683-nucleotide ribosomal RNA is filed under the name Bacillus subtilis. RNAcentral describes it as "bacterial SSU rRNA". It matches the Rfam family "Bacterial small subunit ribosomal RNA", at positions 558 to 1241 of the family's 1533-position model. Lineage: Bacteria; Bacillati; Bacillota; Bacilli; Caryophanales; Bacillaceae. The record is from RNAcentral.